GGGCGAUUAGCUCAGUUGGUUAGAGCGUUGCGUUCACAUCGCAAAAGUCGGAGGUUCGAGUCCUCUAUCGCCCACCA
RNAcentral lists this transfer RNA (77 nucleotides) under Candidatus Omnitrophota bacterium. RNAcentral's name for it is "Candidatus Omnitrophica bacterium tRNA-Val". It matches the Rfam family "tRNA". Rfam says of the family: Transfer RNA (tRNA) molecules are approximately 80 nucleotides in length. Their secondary structure includes four short double-helical elements and three loops (D, anti-codon, and T loops). Lineage: Bacteria; Pseudomonadati; Candidatus Omnitrophota. The record is from RNAcentral.